CCCUAGCCCAGAUGGACGUGGAAAUCCUUUUGAAAAGAACAGCUAUUUUUUCUUGUUCCGGGAGAGCGACUAACAGAAGCUCCUUCCGGGACUUAGAAAAAAAGCAGUUCUUGAAAAAGAUUACAACGAACAGCUGGAUUAGCU
This 144-nucleotide small RNA is filed under the name Flavobacterium sp. 103. Its description in RNAcentral is "Flavo-1 RNA". It matches the Rfam family "Flavo-1 RNA". Lineage: Bacteria; Pseudomonadati; Bacteroidota; Flavobacteriia; Flavobacteriales; Flavobacteriaceae. The record is from RNAcentral.